CUGCUCACAUUGGCAGCACAUACACUAAAAUUGGAAGGACACAAGAAAUUAGCAUGGCGCCUGAACAAGGAUGACACACAAAUUUGUGUGAAGUGUUCCAUAUUAUU
Molecule: small nuclear RNA, 107 nt
Organism: Talpa occidentalis (Iberian mole)
Lineage: Eukaryota; Metazoa; Chordata; Mammalia; Eulipotyphla; Talpidae
Source: RefSeq, a predicted model, not a curated record